AGGGAUAGGGUCGGUUCGGCCGGGUUUCACACAGGUGUUGCAUGGCUGUCGUCAGCUCGUGUCGUGAGAUGUUGGGUUAAGUCCCGCAACGAGCGCAACCCUCAUCCUUAGUUACCAUCAGGUAAUGCUGGGGACUUUAAGGAAACUGCCAGUGAUAAACUGGAGGAAGGUGGGGAUGAUGUCAAGUCAUCAUGGCCCUUAUGGAGUGGGCUACACACGUGCUACAAUGGUGGCUACAAUGGGCUGCAAAGUCGCGAGGCUAAGCUAAUCCCUUAAAAGCCAUCUCAGUUCGGAUUGUACUCUGCAACUCGAGUGCAUGAAGUUGGAAUCGCUAGUAAUCGUGGAUCAGCACGCCACGGUGAAUACGUUCUCGGGUCUUGUACACACUGCCCGUCACGCCAUGGGAAUUGGU
Molecule: ribosomal RNA, 412 nt
Filed under: Wolbachia sp.
Lineage: Bacteria; Pseudomonadati; Pseudomonadota; Alphaproteobacteria; Rickettsiales; Anaplasmataceae
Description: bacterial SSU rRNA
Rfam family: Bacterial small subunit ribosomal RNA
Source: RNAcentral